Octopus bimaculoides (California two-spot octopus) is the source of this 414-nucleotide long non-coding RNA. RefSeq lists it as uncharacterized. The record is from RefSeq and is a predicted model, not a curated record. Lineage: Eukaryota; Metazoa; Mollusca; Cephalopoda; Octopoda; Octopodidae.
AGACUGCACUAUCAUUGUCACAAAAAUAAGACAACGUCAUCGUUUUUAUUAUUGGGAAUAAAAGAGUGGGUUGCGAGAUUCAAUAACCUGCAAUGCAAAAUUUCGAAAACACAAUUUUCUUGCAGAUUUAGCAGUAGAAAAGUCAUACAUAUAACAUGGCUGAUUCUUUGUAACAACAACACCCUAGAAAAAUUAUCAGAGGAAAACUAAUCAUUUCCAUUGAAAAGAAAACUACUGACUGGAGGACAUUGAAGAAAUUUUAGUUCUUGAAUAAAGCUUCACUAAACUACGUUUACAACGUUACAACUAAGAGUUCAGAUUAUGGCGUGUCACAUAUUGAGUAAUGCUGGAUAAUUAAGGAAGUGGCAAUAUAGCUUAAGAUAUAGAAGUUAAGCAGCUCCAAUCGAUAGUGCU